This 256-nucleotide ribosomal RNA is filed under the name uncultured bacterium. Its description in RNAcentral is "partial 16S ribosomal RNA". It matches the Rfam family "Bacterial small subunit ribosomal RNA", at positions 99 to 353 of the family's 1533-position model. The record is from RNAcentral.
CGAACGGGUGAGUAACGCGUGAGGAACCUGCCUCAAAGAGGGGGACAACAGUUGGAAGCGACUGCUAAUACCGCAUAAGACCACAGCACCGCAUGGUGCAGGGGUAAAAACUCCGGUGGUACAGGAUGGACCCGCGUCUGAUUAGCUGGUUGGUGAGGUAACGGCUCACCAAGGCGACGAUCAGUAGCCGGCUUGAGAGAGUGAACGGCCACAUUGGGACUGAGACACGGCCCAAACUCCUACGGGAGGCAGCAUG